RNAcentral lists this ribosomal RNA (450 nucleotides) under uncultured bacterium. RNAcentral's name for it is "partial 16S ribosomal RNA". It matches the Rfam family "Bacterial small subunit ribosomal RNA", at positions 354 to 796 of the family's 1533-position model. The record is from RNAcentral.
GUGGGGAAUUUUGGACAAUGGGCGCAAGCCUGAUCCAGCAAUGCCGCGUGCAGGAAGAAGGCCUUCGGGUUGUAAACUGCUUUUGUACGGAACGAAACGGUCCUGGUUAAUACCUGGGGCUAAUGACGGUACCGUAAGAAUAAGCACCGGCUAACUACGUGCCAGCAGCCGCGGUAAUACGUAGGGUGCAAGCGUUAAUCGGAAUUACUGGGCGUAAAGCGUGCGCAGGCGGUUUUGUAAGACAGGCGUGAAAUCCCCGGGCUCAACCUGGGGAUUGCGCUUGUGAGUGCAAGGAGGGAGGGCGGCAGAGGGGGAUGGAAUUCCGCGUGUAGCAGUGAAAUGCGUAGAUAUGCGGAGGAACACCGAUGGCGAAGGCAAUCCCCUGGGCCUGCACUGACGCUCAUGCACGAAAGCGUGGGGAGCAAACAGGAUUAGCAACCCUUGUAGUCC